Molecule: long non-coding RNA, 1048 nt
Filed under: Olea europaea (common olive)
Lineage: Eukaryota; Viridiplantae; Streptophyta; Magnoliopsida; Lamiales; Oleaceae
Description: long non-coding RNA (OEUR_LNC007949)
Source: RNAcentral
AUAUUUGUUAAAAAAAAGGUCCAUGUAAAAGGAUAAAUCGGGUAGAGCACUUUGGAUCACAAGAAUAAUAUGGGCCCAACUUUACACGAACAUUAGGCCAAAUCCAAUUAAGCCCAACAACUAACCUACAAUUUAAUAUGUUGAAGUGGAUGAAAUUAAUUAUGUAGGUCAGAGAAAGUACCAAUUGCCAUUCAAAAUAGCCUGUAGAAGUCGGCUGAGAGACCAUUUCUAACCCAACCAACACGCCACCAUCACAUCUUCCCUCAAUCAAAUUCCAUCAAAUUAAUGCUAAGCACAAAGGAAAAUAAAUGCCGAAGACCUUCCAUCGUCGGGCGACCUCACUGGAGACCACAAAAUGCUACGGUUGCCUCAACAAUAAUGGGUGUCACUUGUUCGGUUAUUGGAGUAGUUUGGGAUGUCGAGAGUGCCGGUGACCGCCUCAACACCCUUGUAGGAUGUGGUGAAAUGCGGGGCUGACUAAAUAGUGGUUGUUGCUCCAUUCGGUGAUUGGCAAAGUUGUCAUCUGAAGCUAUGGUGGGCCAUGGAUGCUUCACAGUUUUGACGAGUAAAGUCGGCAGCGACGGAGAUGGUUGGAUGUCGAAAAAUCCAAUUUGUUUUUCCUUGUACAUCAAAGCUUUAUGGAGAGAUUCUAUAUUUUGUGGUGGGACUUGCCUUAAUUUUUCUUCUCCCUGCAGCUGGGUUUCUGUUCCAUUUGGUGUUGGUCUCUUCUAAUAAAAUGGGUGAAUAUGGCUGAGACCAUGGAGCAAAACAAUGCCUCUUCCUUCGACAUGUUUUGUUUAUUGAAAUCAUUUAUCUUCCCUUAACUGUAGUUGUCAUUUUUGAAGAAAUUUCCCAAUUCCAGUAGCCUUUUUUCUUUCAUUUUGUUGUUGCUUUUUUGACCUCUUUUUGGUAGAGAACUGAUCGGAAAAAUAGAAUUUGCCGAUGGCAUUUUAUACGUGGUAUAACAUGGUUAAUGUAACGAUUCCCACGGACGGCGCCAAUCUGUUGACCUCCAAAAAUGGCUCCAACAGGCACCCUAGCUUCGUCC